RNAcentral lists this ribosomal RNA (609 nucleotides) under Fusarium oxysporum f. sp. ciceris. RNAcentral's name for it is "eukaryotic LSU rRNA". It matches the Rfam family "Eukaryotic large subunit ribosomal RNA", at positions 35 to 667 of the family's 3401-position model. Lineage: Eukaryota; Fungi; Ascomycota; Sordariomycetes; Hypocreales; Nectriaceae. The record is from RNAcentral.
UAAGCAUAUCAAUAAGCGGAGGAAAAGAAACCAACAGGGAUUGCCCUAGUAACGGCGAGUGAAGCGGCAACAGCUCAAAUUUGAAAUCUGGCUCUCGGGCCCGAGUUGUAAUUUGUAGAGGAUACUUUUGAUGCGGUGCCUUCCGAGUUCCCUGGAACGGGACGCCAUAGAGGGUGAGAGCCCCGUCUGGUUGGAUGCCAAAUCUCUGUAAAGUUCCUUCAACGAGUCGAGUAGUUUGGGAAUGCUGCUCUAAAUGGGAGGUAUAUGUCUUCUAAAGCUAAAUACCGGCCAGAGACCGAUAGCGCACAAGUAGAGUGAUCGAAAGAUGAAAAGCACUUUGAAAAGAGAGUUAAAAAGUACGUGAAAUUGUUGAAAGGGAAGCGUUUAUGACCAGACUUGGGCUUGGUUAAUCAUCUGGGGUUCUCCCCAGUGCACUUUUCCAGUCCAGGCCAGCAUCAGUUUUCCCCGGGGGAUAAAGGCGGCGGGAAUGUGGCUCUCUUCGGGGAGUGUUAUAGCCCACCGUGUAAUACCCUGGGGGGGACUGAGGUUCGCGCAUCUGCAAGGAUGCUGGCGUAAUGGUCAUCAACGACCCGUCUUGAAACACGGACC